GGAUUAGGCAUGCAAGUCGAACGGGAAGCCGUUGAUCAAUCUUCGGAGAGUGAUUCGGUGGAGAGUGGCGAAAGGGUGAGUAACGCGUGUAUAAGCUGCCCUCAAGUUGGGGACAACGUCUGGAAACGGGCGCUAAUACCGAAUGUGGUCUUGUGGCGCAUGUCACGAUGACUAAAGGUGGGGAUCCUUCGGGACCUGCCGCUUGAGGAGGUGUACGCGUGCCAUUAGCUUGUUGGUGAGGUAACGGCUCACCAAGGCGUAUGGCUAGCUGGUCUGAGAGGAUGAUCAGCCACACUGGGACUGAGACACUGCCCAGACUCCUACGGGAGGCUGCAGUCGAGGAUCAUUCGCAAUGCCCGAAAGG
Molecule: ribosomal RNA, 364 nt
Filed under: uncultured Verrucomicrobiota bacterium
Lineage: Bacteria; Pseudomonadati; Verrucomicrobiota
Description: bacterial SSU rRNA
Rfam family: Bacterial small subunit ribosomal RNA
Source: RNAcentral